RNAcentral lists this ribosomal RNA (253 nucleotides) under uncultured bacterium. RNAcentral's name for it is "partial 16S ribosomal RNA". It matches the Rfam family "Bacterial small subunit ribosomal RNA", at positions 524 to 776 of the family's 1533-position model. The record is from RNAcentral.
UACGAAGGGGGCUAGCGUUGUUCGGAAUUACUGGGCGUAAAGGGCGCGUAGGCGGCCUUCUAAGUCGAACGUGAAAUCCCCGGGCUCAACCCGGGAACUGCGUCCGAGACUGGAAGGCUUGAAUCCGGGAGAGGGAUGUGGAAUUCCAGGUGUAGCGGUGAAAUGCGUAGAUAUCUGGAGGAACAUCGGUGGCGAAGGCGGCAUCCUGGACCGGUAUUGACGCUGAGGCGCGAAAGCCAGGGGAGCAAACGGG